RNAcentral lists this ribosomal RNA (409 nucleotides) under uncultured bacterium. RNAcentral's name for it is "bacterial SSU rRNA". It matches the Rfam family "Bacterial small subunit ribosomal RNA", at positions 32 to 432 of the family's 1533-position model. The record is from RNAcentral.
AAUCAACGCUGGCGGCGUGCCUCAGACAUGCAAGUCGAACGAUUAAAGCUCUCUUCGGAGAGUGUAUAGAGUGGCGCACGGGUGAGUAACACGUAAGUAAUCUACCUUUGAGUGGGGAAUAACCCGGGGAAACCCGAGCUAAUACCGCAUAAUGCAGCGGCAUCGCAAGAUGACAGUUGUUAAAGGAGCAAUCCGCUUAAAGAGGAGCUUGCGGCAGAUUAGCUAGUUGGUAAGGUAAUGGCUUACCAAGGCUACGAUCUGUAUCCGGUCUAAGAGGACGGUCGGACACACUGACACUGAAUAACGGGUCAGACUCCUACGGGAGGCAGCAGUCGGGAAUUUUGGGCAAUGGGCGAAGCCUGACCCAGCAACGCCGCGUGAAGGAUGAAGUAUUUCGGUAUGUAAACUU